UGCAUAACUUGCCCGCGUCACUUUUAUAUGUUUUUGAACCGUUAGUUUUGUUUCCAAAGCUUCAGCACAUAGCGGAACUUUAAUCUGUGAAUGUACUGCAAAUGCUCUUUAGAACGCUGAAAGCGAACAGAAAUUAGAUAGCCUAUAGGAUACAGUUCUCUACUUGGAGCGCGCCAGUAACGCUCGUCAGAAAACCCCUCCUACCUCCAGGUGCCUUCAGUUAAGAGCAGCACAGAGGGAAAGUCUUACAGGAUUAGUGUUCUCUGUUAGAGCAACCUGACACUUGCUGUGCAAUUUCCCAAAUCUGUGUUGAGAAUGUUCUAGAAUGUUCAGCGCUGACUGGAGGAUUAUACAUAGACGGCAGUUCCAGCCUGGUGCCGGUGCACAGCCACAGUAUAGAGCGUUUCGUAAAUAAUGGUCAUCUAUUCACCUCCCACCGAAUUCUGACAUCCUCACAUCACCUGCUGGGGUCACCACGGAGACA
Molecule: long non-coding RNA, 484 nt
Organism: Triplophysa rosa
Lineage: Eukaryota; Metazoa; Chordata; Actinopteri; Cypriniformes; Nemacheilidae
Exons: 3
Source: RefSeq, a predicted model, not a curated record